Alligator mississippiensis (American alligator) is the source of this 2195-nucleotide long non-coding RNA. RefSeq lists it as uncharacterized. NCBI's taxonomy places the organism in Eukaryota, Metazoa, Chordata, Crocodylia, Alligatoridae. The record is from RefSeq and is a predicted model, not a curated record. The transcript is spliced from 4 exons.
CUAAUGUCAGGAGACAAAAGCAGAAAUACAGCCUUGGAGAUGGAAGUCAGCAAGAAAACCAGCAAGAAACCACAGAGUCAAACCAGCAUUCAAAGAUAAAAAUGUCAUGCUUAAGAGCAAAGGGAAAGAAGAAAGUAGAGGGCCCACUCAGGAUCACAGAGCUGAAGAUAAACACUAAAGCCAGAGAAGAAAAAGGGCUUUUUCAUAUAUCCAGUUGAAAGAGUUCAUGGUUCUCUGAUACUGAAUCCAAACAUACAUUGAAAUACAGAAUGUGGCAGAUCAUGUGGGGAGAAUUACAAUUCCUAGGAAGUCAUGAGAAAAUUGUCAUGUUGAUUUAAGCAAGUGUAUUUUCUGUCAGGGUAAAAAUGAUAAAAAAAUUACUACAACGUCAAAUGGAUGAAAACGAAUCAUGGAAGCAUCAGAGAUUAGGAAUGAUAUUGUCAUAAAAAGACUGAGAUAAGUGUAGACUGAUACAGGCAGUCCUUGACUUACAACAUUUUGAGUUACAACAUUUCACACUUACAACAUUUAUAAAUUGACAACUUGUUUCAACUUUCUGAUGUCAGUUUCGACUUUACAACACUUGAGCUGAUGCCACGCUAUACCAGUGGACAAGUCUUCUGCACCACCCAUUUCUCUGGAGAACAUCUGUACAAACUUCCUUGGACACUUUCUUUAAGAAAGCCAGCAAGACUUCAGAAAAACCUGAAGCCAAGACUCUUGAGAAGACUCCAGCCAAGAGCCCUUGAAAAAGUCCAGCAAAGUCACCUCAAAGAAGCCCUUCUAAAUUAAUAUGAUACCUAUUUACAAUAUAAAUACAUGAAUGUAGCUAUGUUACUCAUCAGUAAUUGAUUGAGUACAAAAUUCUGGGUUAUUUUUGGUGAAAAUAGGGUCUUGGGUCUUGGUUUAGGAACCAAUCUCCCAUUUAUAACAUUGCUUCCUUUGGGAAAAUCAGUUCUGAAUUGCAACGUUUUGACUUAAGGCACAAUUUUCAGGAACCAAUUGUGUCGUAAGUCAGAGACUGCCUGUACUGAAUUUGUGUACCAUGUAAAUAACCAGUGUUGUAAGAAACAAACAUUGAAAAAUAGUCUAGUGAAGGCCAUCCAUAACAUAAUGAGAAAUAAGUUCUGCAUCUGUGAAACAAAAAGGGCUUCCAAAUUUCUGGCAGCUGCUCUUUAUCUGCAGGAUGAUGGCUUCUCUUGAGCUUCAGAUCUAGAAGCAGAAUCCCAAGUGUUUGAAGCAGAUGUAUUUUAUUACAAAGUAUGCCUGGAAAUGUAUCUUUGAAGAAAUAUGACAACACUCUUAAGCAGUCUGUUACCCAAAAAAACCCCUCUCUUAAGGAUCAGCUUUUGAGAAAGCAAAUUAAAUUGUGGUGCCUAUGUUGAUAGAUGGUUAUGGUUUCAAACUUCUGAAGUCAGAGAUCUAGUAAAUGAUUUGGCGGGUGGUGACAUAAUAAGGAAUAAUGAAGUGAAAGUGUGUUUACAAAAGUACCAUGGAAAUGGUAUGUGUUUGAGUUAUUCAGAUUGCAAAAUGGCUCCAACCUUCCCUAUACCAUGUUCCAUGCCUUGCAGAUAGCAUCCAUGGCCUAACACCUGGCCUCUAUGCCCGGUCCUUGACAUUGUGACCCACACUCCAGAGUCUCACAUGGGACUCUCACUCCCAACUGGAGCUUGCAGUCACUGUGCCCUCACACUAGGAUUUCCUUUAAUCCAUUAGGGCUCCCAGCCCCUACCUACGUAAGACUCUGUGCCCUUGCCAACUCAGGGCUCCAACCCCAGCUCUGCAUUCUCUCAGUCCCCCCAUGCCCCUAUACUGGGGCCCUCAUCCCCUGCCCUACAGCUUCCCCCCACUUCUUUCUCUCUUCAAAAUGAACAUCUCAGAAGAUACUUCUUUGUGACACAUGAAUGCUUUAUCCUGCAUGAUGCCUAUAGAAGCAUGUAAAAUCUGAAAGGUUUUGGGUGGUAUGAAGACCCAAGUGGAGCCCUUUUUCUGGACAAAUGUCUCCAUUCUGUUCCUGAUGAAUUACUGCUGACAUAUAACUGUGCAACAUGCAAAACUGCAAGAUGCAAGUGCCAAAAAAUACAUUUGUUGUACUGAAUACUGCAAAUGUAGUGAAAACUGUAUAAGGAAAACCAAGUAGUCUAAUGGAUGAUGUCUUGGAUCACCUCAAAACAUUAAAAGAAAAAAUAUUUCAA